Molecule: long non-coding RNA, 816 nt
Filed under: Homo sapiens (human)
Lineage: Eukaryota; Metazoa; Chordata; Mammalia; Primates; Hominidae
Description: HSALNT0341218
Source: RNAcentral
CCAGGCUGGUCUUCAGCUCCUGAUCUCAGGUGAUCCACCCGCUUCAGCCUCCCAAAUUGCUGGGAUUACAGGCUUGUUUGGACUGAGUUCCAGAUCUGGGCUGUCAUGGAACAUAACAGGGACCCUUCAUGGGGACAGCAAGAAGGUUCACCGACCCAAUUCAGAGGAAGGAAGAGCCUGGCCUUCAAAAUUACUAUGACCAUCAGAAUGCCCUAGGAGAUCAAAGAAAUAACGGAGUGGGUGUGAGACCUUUUACAAAUGUGUGCACUCAAGCAGUGCAAAGGCAAACCUCCUGGCCCAGCUUACAGAAGGCAUUGUGACAGAUCUCUGGGCUCAUUACCUAGGAGAUGUGACUCUACACUGCCGGUUGGGCCGAGCCCCACUGAAGAUUGUGACAUAUUACUGAGCCCAUAAACUAGAAGGCGUUGUAACAUCUCACUAAGCCCAGCACUCAGGCGAUGUGGCUUUCCUGCUAUGGCACUGCACACAAGAAGAAUGUUGACAUAUUCCUGGCCCAGAAUUCAGGUGGUUUGGUGACUCUCAAACCAUGAUUCAGCAGACCUGUGAGGCUGUGAGUUCCCUAUCAGAACACAAUCUGCAGGUUGUAUUGUGCCAUAUACCUGGGACCAAAUUACAAGCACAAUGAUGAAUCUUUUACCUGGAGUCAAGACAUGGGCAGGAUGAUGGAACUUAUCACUGGACCUUUCCACAGUGUUAUUGUGACAUAUGCCUUUGCCCAACAUGUGGUGAUUUGACUCCCCAGACUGGGUCCAGUUCACAAAUAAAAUUGUGCCGUAUACUUGGCCAAGAACCUAA